Molecule: transfer RNA, 73 nt
Filed under: Polyangiaceae bacterium
Lineage: Bacteria; Pseudomonadati; Myxococcota; Polyangiales; Polyangiaceae
Description: tRNA-Val
Source: RNAcentral
GCGGGGCAAGCGAUCUGGCGGUCGCGUCUGCUCGACAAGCAGAAUCGGGUGAGUUCGAUUCUCACGCCCCGCA